RNAcentral lists this ribosomal RNA (500 nucleotides) under uncultured bacterium. RNAcentral describes it as "partial 16S ribosomal RNA". It matches the Rfam family "Bacterial small subunit ribosomal RNA", at positions 28 to 523 of the family's 1533-position model. The record is from RNAcentral.
GAUGAACGCUGGCGGCAUGCCUUACACAUGCAAGUCGAACGGCAGCGCGGACUUCGGUCUGGCGGCGAGUGGCGAACGGGUGAGUAAUACAUCGGAACGUACCCUGUUGUGGGGGAUAACUAGUCGAAAGAUUAGCUAAUACCGCAUACGAACUGAGGGUGAAAGUGGGGGACCGCAAGGCCUCACGCAGCAGGAGCGGCCGAUGUCUGAUUAGCUAGUUGGUGGGGGAAAGGCCCACCAAGGCGACGAUCAGUAGCUGGUCUGAGAGGACGAGAAGCCAUACUGGUACUGAGACACGGCCCAGACUCCUACGGGAGUCAGCAGUGGAGAAGUUUGGACAAUGGGGGCAACCCUGAUCCAGCAAUGCCGCGUGUGUGAAGAAGGCCUUCGGGUUGUAAAGCACUUUUGUCCGGAAAGAAAUCGCGCUGGUUAAUACCUGGCGUGGAUGACGGUACCGGAAGAAUAAGCACCGGCUAACUACGUGCCAGCCGCCGCGGUAA